This 506-nucleotide ribosomal RNA is filed under the name uncultured bacterium. Its description in RNAcentral is "partial 16S ribosomal RNA". It matches the Rfam family "Bacterial small subunit ribosomal RNA", at positions 29 to 523 of the family's 1533-position model. The record is from RNAcentral.
AUUGAACGCUGGCGGCAGGCCUAACACAUGCAAGUCGAACGGCAGCGGGGGAUAGCUUGCUAUCCUGCCGGCGAGUGGCGGACGGGUGAGUAAUGCAUGGGGAGCUGCCCAGUCGAGGGGGAUAACAACUGGAAACGGUUGCUAAUACCGCAUACACCCUGAGGGGGAAAGGUGGGGCACUUCGGUCCUACCGCGAUUGGAUGCGCCCAUGUGGGAUUAGCUAGUUGGGGAGGUAACGGCUCACCAAGGCGACGAUCUCUAGCUGGUCUGAAAGGAUGAGCAGCCACACUGGAACUGAGACACGGUCCAGACUCCUACGGGAGGCAGCAGUGGGGAAUAGUGCACAAUGGGGGAAACCCUGAUGCAGCCAUGCCGCGUGUGUGAAGAAGGCCUUCGGGUUGUAAAGCACUAUCAGUCAGGAGGAAGGGGUGAUGGCUAAUAUCCAUCAUCAUUGACGUUACUGACAGAAGAAGCACCGGCUAACCCCGUGCCAGCCGCCGCUGUAA